GGGGUGAGACGCACGCUUCCAUCCUCAACGGCACCGAUCAGCCAAACAAGAAGACUAAGGUUUGCCAACGGGCGCACAAGCGACGAAAACGGGAGCAUACACGUGUGUUUUUGGGCGUGACAUGUAGACUCGCUUUCGUUGGCGGGGAGAAGAUCUCAUCACUGGAAGCGGUUGCCGCCCUAUCGUUCUGCCCUCGCAUUCUUCCACAGCAACCGACGGCUAUUUCUUUCCUUCUCUUCUUUUUUUUUGGAUGUCUCGCAAGGUGAGCGCCGUGGUCGUUUGUGGGCCUUCUGGUGUCGGGAAGACGACAGUCGGCCGAAAGCUUGCAGCGCUUUUCAAGUGCCGCUUCGAGGAGGCGGAUGACUAUCACAGUGAUGCGAACAAAGAGAAGAUGCGCUCUGGGGUGCCGCUGACGGACGACGAUCGUGCGCCGUGGUUGCGUCGGCUCCAGAAGGGGGUGCUCGCGCCGUGCCAGGGUCUCGGUACCGCGUCGAUGGUGCUACCCUGCUCCGCACUGCGUCGUUGUUACCGUGACGCGCUGCGGGGAAUGGACUACUGCAAGAAUUCCAAGGCGGCCGCCAAUACGCUGCAGCACACGGACGCUUUUUUCCUGCUGCUCAGUGGAGACGUGAAGCUGAUCGAGGAGCGGCUGCAGGCGCGCCAGGGACACUUCAUGUCGACCUCCCUUCAUGGAUCGCAGACGGCCACAUCGGAGGCUCUGAAGCCAACGGAGUUGGGCUCUACAGUUGACUUGGAUGACCCGCCGUCGCUGAUCGCCACGGAGGCAGCCGAGCUGAUUCGGAUCGCCACCACGUCGUCCCUCCGCAUAUCGCCCCAGCCACCUCCGACAGACGCCUGGCCAGGGCAACGGAUGCUUCAGCCUCUUUCUCUUUGAGAUUCAUGCAUGUGUCUAUAUUGGCUCUCUAACCCUGUCGCCCUCUGCGUUGUACUGCUCGCCUUUGAUUUCUCGUCCUCCACUUCGUCCUUCUGUUGGGCGACGCCUACCUAG
Molecule: unclassified non-coding RNA, 1009 nt
Filed under: Leishmania donovani
Lineage: Eukaryota; Euglenozoa; Kinetoplastea; Trypanosomatida; Trypanosomatidae
Description: gene:LdHU3.28.1490(CDS-product:hypothetical_prote in_conserved)
Source: RNAcentral